This 774-nucleotide ribosomal RNA is filed under the name uncultured Neocallimastigales. RNAcentral's name for it is "partial large subunit ribosomal RNA". It matches the Rfam family "Eukaryotic large subunit ribosomal RNA", at positions 23 to 620 of the family's 3401-position model. Lineage: Eukaryota; Fungi; Neocallimastigomycota; Neocallimastigomycetes; Neocallimastigales. The record is from RNAcentral.
AGAGAGAGACAUGCGCGCAUAUCAAUAAGCGGAGGAAAAGAAACUAACAAGGAUUCCCUAGUAACGGCGAGUGAAGCGGGAAGAGCUCAAAUUUGAAAUCUUCAAGGUUUUACCUUGACGAAUUGUAGUUUAAAGAAGUGUUUUCUGCUGGAGUUUUGGUAAAAGUUCUUUGGAAUAGGACAUCAUAGAGGGUGAGAAUCCCGUAUUUGACCAUUAUUUUCAGCUUUGUGAUACACUUUCAAAGAGUCGGAUUGUUUGGGAAUGCAGUCCAAAAUGGGUGGUAAAUUUCAUCUAAAGCUAAAUAUUGGCGAGAGACCGAUAGCGAACAAGUACCGUGAGGGAAAGAUGAAAAGAACUUUGAAAAGAGAGUUAAACAGUACGUGAAAUUGUCAAAAGGGAAGCGUUUGACACCAGUGUUGUUUUCUCGAAAAUCAAUUAAAAAUGGCUCGAUUUUGUAUUGCUUGAGACCUUAAAAGCUCACUGUACAUUUUUCGUGUCUUUUUUAAUGCACUUUUCGUUUAACAAGUCAACAUCAGUUUCUUUUGUUGUAAAAGGGUCAUUGGAAGGUGGCUUUCUUUUCGGAGAAAGUGUUUAUAGCCUUUGGCCUCUGCAAUCGGAGAGACUGAGGUCUGCAGCGUAGACUCUUCGGGGUUAGAUACAUUUGUGCUAAGUUAUAGCUUUUUAUAGACAACUUGUUGACUAUAAUUAGUCUUGUAGCUUACUCGCUUAUGCUAUUUUACCUACGCUUAGGAUGUUGAAGAUGUAGCACAUCAU